RNAcentral lists this ribosomal RNA (252 nucleotides) under uncultured bacterium. Its description in RNAcentral is "partial 16S ribosomal RNA". It matches the Rfam family "Bacterial small subunit ribosomal RNA", at positions 524 to 776 of the family's 1533-position model. The record is from RNAcentral.
UACGGAGGAUGCGAGCGUUAUCCGGAUUUAUUGGGUUUAAAGGGUGCGCAGGCGGCGUGUCAAGUCAGCGGUAAAAUGUCGGGGCUCAACCCCGGCCGGCCGUUGAAACUGGCGUGCUCGAGUUGGAGAGAAGUAUGCGGAAUUCGUGGUGUAGCGGUGAAAUGCAUAGAUAUCACGAAGAACCCCGAUUGCGAAGACAGCAUACCGGCUCCACACUGACGCUGAGGCACGAAAGCGUGGGUAUCGAACAGG